CAUAGGUUAAUGAGGCGAACCGGGGGAACUGAAACAUCUAAGUACCCCGAGGAAAAGAAAUCAACCGAGAUUCCCCCAGUAGCGGCGAGCGAACGGGGAGGAGCCCAGAGCCUGAAUCAGUGUGUGUGUUAGUGGAAGCGUCUGGAAAGGCGCGCGAUACAGGGUGACAGCCCCGUACACAAAAAUGCACAUGCUGUGAGCUCGAUGAGUAGGGCGGGACACGUGGUAUCCUGUCUGAAUAUGGGGGGACCAUCCUCCAAGGCUAAAUACUCCUGACUGACCGAUAGUGAACCAGUACCGUGAGGGAAAGGCGAAAAGAACCCCGGCGAGGGGAGUGAAAAAGAACCUGAAACCGUGUACGUACAAGCAGUGGGAGCACGCUUAGGCGUGUGACUGCGUACCUUUUGUAUAAUGGGUCAGCGACUUAUAUUCUGUAGCAAGGUUAACCGAAUAGGGGAGCCGAAGGGAAACCGAGUCUUAACUGGGCGUUAAGUUGCAGGGUAUAGACCCGAAACCCGGUGAUCUAGCCAUGGGCAGGUUGAAGGUUGGGUAACACUAACUGGAGGACCGAACCGACUAAUGUUGAAAAAUUAGCGGAUGACUUGUGGCUGGGGGUGAAAGGCCAAUCAAACCGGGAGAUAGCUGGUUCUCCCCGAAAGCUAUUUAGGUAGCGCCUCGUGAAUUCAUCUCCGGGGGUAGAGCACUGUUUCGGCAAGGGGGUCAUCCCGACUUACCAACCCGAUGCAAACUGCGAAUACCGGAGAAUGUUAUCACGGGAGACACACGGCGGGUGCUAACGUCCGUCGUGAAGAGGGAAACAACCCAGACCGCCAGCUAAGGUCCCAAAGUCAUGGUUAAGUGGGAAACGAUGUGGGAAGGCCCAGACAGCCAGGAUGUUGGCUUAGAAGCAGCCAUCAUUUAAAGAAAGCGUAAUAGCUCACUGGUCGAGUCGGCCUGCGCGGAAGAUGUAACGGGGCUAAACCAUGCACCGAAGCUGCGGCAGCGACGCUUAUGCGUUGUUGGGUAGGGGAGCGUUCUGUAAGCCUGUGAAGGUGUGCUGUGAGGCAUGCUGGAGGUAUCAGAAGUGCGAAUGCUGACAUAAGUAACGAUAAAGCGGGUGAAAAGCCCGCUCGCCGGAAGACCAAGGGUUCCUGUCCAACGUUAAUCGGGGCAGGGUGAGUCGACCCCUAAGGCGAGGCCGAAAGGCGUAGUCGAUGGGAAACAGGUUAAUAUUCCUGUACUUGGUGUUACUGCGAAGGGGGGACGGAGAAGGCUAUGUUGGCCGGGCGACGGUUGUCCCGGUUUAAGCGUGUAGGCUGGUUUUCCAGGCAAAUCCGGAAAAUCAAGGCUGAGGCGUGAUGACGAGGCACUACGGUGCUGAAGCAACAAAUGCCCUGCUUCCAGGAAAAGCCUCUAAGCAUCAGGUAACAUCAAAUCGUACCCCAAACCGACACAGGUGGUCAGGUAGAGAAUACCAAGGCGCUUGAGAGAACUCGGGUGAAGGAACUAGGCAAAAUGGUGCCGUAACUUCGGGAGAAGG
Molecule: ribosomal RNA, 1540 nt
Filed under: Escherichia coli
Lineage: Bacteria; Pseudomonadati; Pseudomonadota; Gammaproteobacteria; Enterobacterales; Enterobacteriaceae
Description: partial 23S ribosomal RNA
Rfam family: Bacterial large subunit ribosomal RNA
Source: RNAcentral